UAUUAUACAAUUACAUACUAGAUAUAAAUAUAUUACAUACAGUAUAUAAAUAACAGGUAAAUACGGCAUGAUUUAUUAUAGUGAUUUAAUCUGAAAUCAGCAGUAAGUGUAAGCAGAGCUCUUCCCCGCCUCAUGUCCGCCUUCUGCUGCAGUGCGUCACCCAAAACAUUCCCCCUUUCAGGGAGGAGCAGAACCGAAAAUACGCCACAACAGAGCAGAGAGGUAAAGAGAUAUUAGGAAAUACCCAAUGGUUUCGAAAGAAACCGGUAAACAAACCUCUAAAAAGCAAAAAGUAACAAAGACAGCAUCAGUAACAGCGUUUCUUUGUGUUUCUCCAGGAGAAAUCAGCAAGAAACCGGGUUCAUAGACUUUGCACAGAAUUCACCAGCACAACAUGUUUGCCAUGUGUUGGCUCGACCUACACUGAUCAACCCAAUGGCCUUUUGAGUUGUCUUUACUGUACAGUGUGUGAUUUUGGACAGGGAUUAAAAGUAAAAAUG
Long non-coding RNA from Silurus meridionalis, 500 nucleotides. RefSeq lists it as uncharacterized. The record is from RefSeq and is a predicted model, not a curated record. Lineage: Eukaryota; Metazoa; Chordata; Actinopteri; Siluriformes; Siluridae. The transcript is spliced from 3 exons.